This 278-nucleotide ribosomal RNA is filed under the name uncultured Parabacteroides sp. Its description in RNAcentral is "partial 16S ribosomal RNA". It matches the Rfam family "Bacterial small subunit ribosomal RNA", at positions 511 to 788 of the family's 1533-position model. The record is from RNAcentral. Lineage: Bacteria; Pseudomonadati; Bacteroidota; Bacteroidia; Bacteroidales; Tannerellaceae.
GCAGCCGCGGUAAUACGGAGGAUGCGAGCGUUAUCCGGAUUUAUUGGGUUUAAAGGGUGCGUAGGUGGCUUUUUAAGUCAGUGGUGAAAGUUUGUGGCUCAACCAUAAAAUUGCCAUUGAAACUGGGGAGCUUGAGUGUGUUUGAGGUAGGCGGAAUGCGUGGUGUAGCGGUGAAAUGCAUAGAUAUCACGCAGAACUCCAAUUGCGAAGGCAGCUUACUAAGCCAUAACUGACACUGAAGCACGAAAGCGUGGGGAUCAAACAGGAUUAGAUACCCC